AACGAACGCUGGCGGCAUGCCUAACACAUGCAAGUCGAACGAUUGCCUUCGGGUGAUAGUGGCGCACGGGUGCGUAACGCGUGGGAAUCUGCCCUUAGGUUCGGAAUAACAGCUGGAAACGGCUGCUAAUACCGGAUGAUAUCGCGAGAUCAAAGAUUUAUCGCCUGAGGAUGAGCCCGCGUUGGAUUAGUUAGUUGGUGGGGUAAAGGCCUACCAAGCCGACGAUCCAUAGCUGGUCUGAGAGGAUGAUCAGCCACACUGGGACUGAGACACGGCCCAGACUCCUACGGGAGGCAGCAGUGGGGAAUAUUGGACAAUGGGCGCAAGGCUGAUCCAGCAAUGCCGCGUGAGUGAUGAAGGCCCUAGGGUUGUAAAGCUCUUUUACCCGGGAAGAUAAUGACUGUACCGGGAGAAUAAGCCCCGGCUAACUCCGUG
Molecule: ribosomal RNA, 435 nt
Filed under: uncultured bacterium
Lineage: Bacteria
Description: partial 16S ribosomal RNA
Rfam family: Bacterial small subunit ribosomal RNA
Source: RNAcentral